GGGGAUGAUCGGUUUCGACAGCGGAUGUCGAAGUAGGGGAAGCGAGCCGAGGAAGCGCGGCAAUGAUCUCGUUAACCAUGUGCCGUGAAAAAAUAAUCGCCAAUAACAAGCGCGAUUCCUUCGCCCUCGCUGCCUGAGCAGCGACUCGCGGAGUGUCAGCCCGGGCCUGUUCCCGUCCCGGUGUCUGGCAUCAGCUAGGGAACUCACCUGUUAGCUCCGGUCGCGGGAGCUAAGGGGACACCACACAGCGACUGAGCCCGUCGGAGACUUGUCCGCGUGAUCUCCGGGGCUGAGAAAAUCAGAGCGGACUGCGCUCGGAGAAGCCCUCCUUCUGCUUCGUUGGACGCGGGUUCGAUUCCCGCCAUCUCCACUU
Molecule: transfer-messenger RNA, 373 nt
Filed under: Streptomycetaceae
Lineage: Bacteria; Bacillati; Actinomycetota; Actinomycetes; Kitasatosporales
Also listed under: 1 other name
Description: Streptomyces sp004348315 Standard tmRNA
Rfam family: transfer-messenger RNA
About the family: Bacterial tmRNA, also known as 10Sa RNA or SsrA, is named for its dual tRNA and mRNA-like properties.
Source: RNAcentral